CUGCACCCUGCACCCGAAAAGGUGACCUCAGGGACAGCAAUGCAGCUGCCCUAAACCUUUCGAGGUCCAGCCACAGUCUUUAACAAAAAAAUAGGGGAAGCGGUGAGAAAAUGAUCGAGCUGAAACUAGAAGGGACGCUGGAGAAGCAGAAGGUAAUUAGCAGAUUUGGGAUUUGGCUGGGACUCAAGGUGCAAGGAGCGAUUGGAAACGUUGGCUGUCUUUUGCUGACUAUGCCGCACCAGCCAAGGUUUGUUUUCUGUUAGCGCAAGCAGAGAGGUGGGAAGCAAAAGAGACAGCUGCUCCAAAGAGACGGACAAAACUGACUGUUCCUGACAAGGACGCUGCAAUCUGACUAACUAGGGAUCAGACGCACGCGUAAUCCUCAGGAAAAUUCAUCUCGGGACAGUCGAAGAUCAGACCGAAGGGAAGAACGACGCAGGGUAGAUGCCUCUCCCUGAGCUUUCCAUGGCUCAGGUACGUCCGUCUCAGCCUCACCCCAAGGGCAGCACUGGCAUAGAAUAGCUGUAGGCCUUGUCUAAUGAGUUGCUAUCACCCCAUCACAUGCUAUCCAAGAGAUGUGCAAGACAUUCAGAGAAGAGAGCUGGGAGGUGGAAGCGAAGUUGAACCAGGAGAGAAAUUACAAUCGCGCUCAGAAGAUCCAGGGGAGACGAGGGCGAGCAAAGAGCAUCACUACACAGAUGUUCCUAGCGGCUGCGUUUCUGCCCUAAGAUGAUGCAUGGAAGGUGCCGGAUGCCUUUGGUGGAGCAGCUGGAGUAAGACUUUGGUUAUGUUUGACCCAGAUCCUCGAAAGUAUUUAAGCACCUAACUCCCAUUGAUUUCAACUGAGCCAAUGAAGAUGGUGGUUUCUGAGUUGUGGACACGGGUCCAUUCGAAUUGAGACCCAGCAACUCACUUCAGAGAGGCCAUCGAAGAGUAAGGAGCUGAGGACAUUGUGCACCUGGGCUGAACUUGGAUUUCAACUUCUACAGAUGAAACACCCUUUGGCCAAUCUCCUGCAUCACCCAGUCCUCUGGGGUGGCAGCUGGCUACCUACUUGUGAUCCAUUCUGCCACUCAUCAGCAAUGCAGGCAGGAGAAAGUCGUGGAAAUGAAUGCUUGCAUCUGAAGAAGUGAGGUUCUUACCCACGAAAGCUUAUGCUCCCAAUACUUCUGUUAGUCUUAAAGGUGCCACAGGACCCUCUGUGGAAAUGAAUGGUUCAGUUGAGGAAGGCCAGCCUGCUUUUAUAGCAUGAAUGUAACACUCUAACAGAACUUUACACGCUGGGAAUUGUGCCUCUGCACAAUGAAUACAAGUUGGGGAUGAUCUCUGCUCUCACUCAUGUUCAUCAGAGGCUGAGAGGAUCUUCGGAGGUGAAGCUCACGGUGCCCAAUUCAACCCUGGUGCAAGCAGGUGCAGCUACGCUGAAGUCAGUGCAGCAGUGGCUACUUUCACUAAGGGCUGAAUUAUGUAUUUCCUGACUCCAGUCACACAAUAUAAGUCAGGGUUACAAAAGCUUAUGCUCCUUGUCAUGUGGUAGGAGUCAGCACACACUGGCCCCAGGGGCUACUGUUACACACAUUCUGUUUAUCUCUAGACCACAUUGUCCCAGCCAGGAGUUCAUGGGAGCCUCCUGAAAGCUUUACUAAACACAAAAAAUCCUCAUAGAUAUAUUACGGCUGCUGCAUUUACAUUUGUAAAAUAUACCAAGUUAGGGCUGUGCCAAGCACAGUACAUGGCACAGCUGUAUUUUUGUGAUGUUGACUCCUUCUAACUACUGUAUUUGGAGUUUAAC
Molecule: long non-coding RNA, 1792 nt
Organism: Malaclemys terrapin pileata
Lineage: Eukaryota; Metazoa; Chordata; Testudines; Emydidae
Exons: 6
Source: RefSeq, a predicted model, not a curated record